UACGGAGGGAGCUAGCGUUGUUCGGAAUUACUGGGCGUAAAGCGCACGUAGGCGGCGAUUCAAGUCAGAGGUGAAAGCCCGGGGCUCAACCCCGGAACUGCCUUUGAAACUAGAUUGCUAGAAUCCUGGAGAGGCGAGUGGAAUUCCGAGUGUAGAGGUGAAAUUCGUAGAUAUUCGGAAGAACACCAGUGGCGAAGGCGACUCGCUGGACAGGUAUCGACGCUGAGGUGCGAAAGCGUGGGGAGCAAACAGG
Molecule: ribosomal RNA, 253 nt
Filed under: uncultured bacterium
Lineage: Bacteria
Description: partial 16S ribosomal RNA
Rfam family: Bacterial small subunit ribosomal RNA
Source: RNAcentral